RNAcentral lists this small RNA (126 nucleotides) under Chelonoidis abingdonii (Abingdon island giant tortoise). RNAcentral describes it as "TUC338 (ENSCABG00000016398.1)". Lineage: Eukaryota; Metazoa; Chordata; Testudines; Testudinidae. The record is from RNAcentral.
AGACUCUUCAGGAUUGAGGCUUUCCCACAGUGCAGGGCAACCAAUGUGUCUCAACCCUGACCUGGAGGGGACUGCCUGUAGGGAUGAGAAAUGAAUUCAGUCUUCACGCCAACAUCAUUGGCCUAU